Molecule: long non-coding RNA, 3597 nt
Organism: Ictalurus punctatus (channel catfish)
Lineage: Eukaryota; Metazoa; Chordata; Actinopteri; Siluriformes; Ictaluridae
Source: Ensembl
GAGAGAGAGAGAGAGAGAGAGAGAGAGAGAGAAUAAAAGCAUUAGAGAAUGUGAAGCCUUAGCCUUAUGUGAAGCCUUAGAAGAAAAUCUUGUUUGGUCCAACAGAUCCUGAGUUGGGAAAGUUUUGAAAGGACAAAAACAGGAUAUGCCAAUAUCACUGUGUUCAACCUGCAAUUUCCACAUAGACACAUCAAGAACAUAUACUUGGCCUUUGAUUGGCCCUGUUUCACUGAACAUUGCUGCAUGUUUUGUACGUUUGUUUUGAAAAGAGAAAAGAGAAUUUUGGUUGUCUCACUAUUUUCCCUUCAGUCAUUAUUCAUUUUUCAUAGCAUCUACAGUGAAACUAAUAAUUAAUGUCAUUUAGAUGUGAAAAUGAGGAAGGUAACUCUGGACUUAGAUCCUAGAAGUUUAAGGGACAAUUUUAAGGCAUUACAUUUGUUCUAAGGUGUGUAAAGGUUUUCAAUUAAAUCCAAUUAAAACUUAUGAACCUCUUCCUGCUGUUUAGGAAAGGUGCUGGUGUUGGCUCAGACGUGACCAGCUAAUAAUUAAUCAUCAUUGUUUCCACAUAUUCAUGUAGCUGCUAUACAAAGCAAAAUUCCAGUGGGAAAUGAACACAUCUAACAUUCAAAUCUACUUGCACAAGAACUGAUACAGUUGCACCUCAUUGUUAUUUUUUAUUUUUAUUUUUGCUGUGUUGAACAAAUAUCAUUCUCACAACAUCCAGUGUUACCUAAUGAGCAAUUCAUACAACUUUCAACAAAAAAGUGCAACAUGGUUUUGUUUGAGUUAUAAACAAAUGAUCUUGCUUAACCCUUUAAAUCACUGUGGUUAAACACCCGGGCUUUACAUUUCACUGAAAAGAGUCCAAAUGAAGUGUGCUAAUUAGGGAGUUCAAUAUGUUAAAUUUCACUGGGCCUGUUGUGGGUGAAUUGCAAAGAAUAAUUGCAUACAUAAUACCACAUGAAACGUUGGGAGAGGAUACAAUAUGUAAAUAAGGAUUUCUUCUCAUUAUCCUUUGCAGGCUCAGAUCUUUAAGGGAUUUAUGGAUGAGUAAAAUUGAAAUUUGCCAAAUAUAACCUGUAAUGCUGAUUAAAGACAGUGAGACAUGUUAAGAAACACAAAUAACAACAUGAACAUACAGUAUGUGUGCACAUAUACACAUGUACUUCUUUUCUUUAAUGAUUUUGGCAAUUUCGGUUCAAACAUGCAGUAAAUAUCUAAUAUGAGACCAUCCAUCCAUCCAUCCAUUUUCUGUAUCGCUGAUCCUACACAGGGUCGCGGGGAGUCUAUCACAGGGGAUUGUGUGCAAGGUUGGGGGACAGUCUGGAUGGUGUGCUAAUCCAUCGCAGGGCACAAUCACACACAUAUUCACACACUAUGGACAGUUUAGGGAUACCAAUCAGUCUACAACACAUGUCUUUGGACUGGGGGAGGAAACCUGAGUACCCUGAGGAAACCCCUGAAGAACAGGGAGAACAUACACACUUUGUGCACACAGAUGCGAGGCAAACGUGCUAACCACUAAGACAAUGUGCCCCCCCACUCCUUAAUAUGGGACUGACUUAAUAAAAAUAAAUCAUAAUAUCAAGAUUAUGUCUCAUUAUUUUGAGACACUAAGAUAAAAUUUUGAGAAAGAGUAAUUUUUUUUUUACAUUUAUUUGAUCGUCAGUAAAUAUUUUUUCCUGGUUAUGGUUGUGGUGGAUUCAGAGCUUAUCACGGGAACACUGGGAGUGAGUUGGGAAUAAACCCUGGAUGGGAUGCCGAUCUAUUACAGGGCAUCAUACACAGACUUCACAUACCCAUUCACACCUAGGGACAGUUUAUCAUAGCUAAUCAACCUACUGCAUGUUUUUUGAAAGCAGGAAGAAAUAGCAGAACCUGGAGGAAAUCUCAGAAGAUGUGAGGAAGCAACUCUACCCGCUGUGCCACCAUGACACCCAAAAUGUUUUAUUAAUGUUAAUUAAAUAUGUUUUAGUUGUAUACAAUUUUAAAUGACGGAAAUUUGGGUACGCAAAUUGUCAUUUGUGUUAAAUUGCCAUUUGUGUUAUAACUGAAGUGACUUUGAAGAUUAAAUUCUAAAUUAAUCUAUUUGCUAUGUCACUGCUCUGUAUUUUGCAAUUUCUGCAGAAAUGCCCACUAUUAUUUAGAAAAUACAUGCUAAAUGGGCAAAGCAUUUUUAAAAUGUGUUAUUGACAUUCUUAGAUGCACACAAACCUUUAUUAAGUCAAAGCCAUAAUAUUUUCCUAAUUCUUUGGAUUAGUGCCUAAUGUAAGAAAGUAUAGCUUUUAUGAGCAUAUUUAAUGCUUUUAAAGCAAGACACACAGGAAAGAGAGGAAUAACAGUAGUUCCUUUGCAAAACUGGGACAGUAUAGUUACUGAAGGAAGUCCUCAAAAAUUGCUUACCAGUGUAAUCUGGCUAUUUUUGUACUCCUGUUUGCAUAGAAAAUGAUGAUAAUGCUAAUCAAAUACAGAAAUGAGCCCUUAGAAGAAAGAAUUGUACUCCAGAUCAAUUGAAGUUUGAUGAGCAAUGAGCAACUCAUACAAGAAUAUGCUUUGAAAUAAAUGUUGUCUGUGCUUUAAAAUGGGGCACGCCAUGAAGCCCUAGUUUCUCAAAGGACAACUGAGCCUCAGUGCAGCUACUUCAGUGUGUCUGCCUCAGAGACUGUUCCUGCCUCUCUCCUACACUUCCUCCUGUAAAAUUACUCCCCAGGGACCGACCAUGUUCUGGACGUGAUUGUAUUUUAUCUCUCCCCCUGCUUUACUCCCAAGGAGUCAUUUCUUGCUGCUCCCCAUGCAAAUGUCCCAUUUAUCCAUGUCCAUAGGGACCGCCGCUCUCCUCUCACCUCACCAAUUAGAUCAGAUUUUUUCGAAGAAGGUUUUGGAGACCAUUAAAAUGGGCCUGAUCAAAAGAGAUUCCAUUAUAGAUAGGGUGAUGUGUUGAUGAAAGGAAACCAGUAGGAGGAGCUCCAUCCACAGAUCUCAGUGUGUUCGCACACAUAUUCUUUCACAGAAAACAGAGGUUGGUCCAUGGUCAUUUGCAAGUCCUUGAACUUGCUAUCUAUUUAACCUUCAACUCCUGCACUAUAAGCCAAAUCACACAUCCUGUAUCAAGUGCUUAGUCUCUGCUACUUUGUAUCAAGGGCUAAAGAAACCCCACUGUGAGCUGCAAAGCUGAGACAACGACACAUCAAUGUAGCACAUGACAGCCAUAUAUAAAAGCUGGUUUAAAAGAGAUUGAUUUGAAGUUCUUGUUUAUAAAGGCUCCAGCUCUUUCAAAGACAAAAUCAGUUUCUUGAUUCACUGUGGAUCUCCACAGCGCUGUAGGAUCAAAAAUGGACAAGAAUCUUUAUACACUGCUGAGUGGGCAGCAGUUUCAAGAUUGAUAUGAGGAUUUGCAUCAUAACUUUUACAUUUCAGAUACAAUCAUUUCUUAUUUGCACCAGGGAGGAAUAUAAUCCUUAUUGGGUAAAAAGGAAAAGGCAUUAUAUCCCUACAGUUCAUAUCUUGCUUUUAGUUUUAAUUAGGCUACUGCAUAAUUAAAAUACAUAAACAGCAUCAUAGCCCCAAGUGGCCACUUUCCUGCUGGUUAACCUCACU